Molecule: non-coding RNA, 10783 nt
Organism: Podarcis lilfordi (Lilford's wall lizard)
Lineage: Eukaryota; Metazoa; Chordata; Lepidosauria; Squamata; Lacertidae
Source: the annotation of a GenBank genome assembly
GCCUUCCCCGUGUCAGUUGGCGGAGUCCGGAGCCGGAGCCUGAAACAAAAGCGAGAGGCGGCGGCGGCGGCGGCGUUGGCGGCGGGGCUCCUGCGAGUUCGCCCGGCUGAGGCGCGGAGAAGGCGGGGAGGCGCGCGACCGGCGGCGGCGUCGUCCGAGAGAGAGAGGAGCGUCCGUGAGGGAAACUUUCUCCGCGCUUCCUUUCUCCUCACGCGGAGGCUCCGUCGGCGGGAGGCGAGGGAGCCGGACCGGCCUCCGGCUCCAGGGCGCCCGGGAGGAGGGCUCGCCUCAGCCGCCUCAGCCGCCGCCGCUUCCGGAAGGCGGCUCCGCGGGCACCGCCGCCGGAGAGCAGCGCUCUUUCUUUCCCCCGCCCGAAAACAAGCGGAGAAGCCGAGCGGUUGCUCGGGGGUCCCCUUCGCCGAGAAGGCGGGCGGGCGGGCGGGCAGGCAGGGGCCGCCGGCCGCGCCUCUCGGGAGCGGGGCGCGAUGGAUGACCAGCCCCGUCUGAUGCACUCGCACGCCGGCGUGGGCAUGGCCGGCCACCCGGGCCUGUCCCAGCACAUGCAGGACGGGGCCGGGGGCGCCGAAGGCGAGGGGGGCCGCAAGCAAGACAUCGGGGACAUUUUGCAGCAGAUCAUGACCAUCACCGACCAGAGUUUGGACGAGGCGCAGGCCAGGUGAGCCCUCCCUCCCUUCCUCCCCCCUCUCGUCGCUACCAUGAUCAUUAUAAUCGUCAUUAUUAUUAUUAUUAUUAUUGCACCACAUUUCUUUUCGCGGCAGGAUCCUGGUCCUCUAAAAGCCUGACUCGCAGCCGAGCUCUCUCUGUGCAGCAAACAAAAAGUAUAGCUCUCCAGGAAAAACAACAUCCCAUUAUCAUUAUGAUCAUCAUCAUUAUUAUUAUUAUCGCACCACAUUUCUUUCCGCGGCAGGAUCCUGGUCCUUUAAAAGCCUGACUCGCAGACGAGCUCUCUGUUCAGCAAACAAAAAGUAUAGCUCUCCAGGAAAAACAACAUCCCGAUUGGGUGUCUUCUAUGGAGCAACAUGCCAGAAUGGCAUAUUUAAGUGUACAGUAUAUAGGUGUGAUUUCUAGUGGCGUGCGGGUACGUGCAAAUGUUUAGGGAGAGAAGGCUCUUCUGCUCUUUUUUCUCUUUUUUUUGCCAAGUUAGGUAGGGCUGAAUUGGCUCCUUUGGUCGCCUUGUGCAUCUGCACCUUCCCAUCUGUGUUUUGUGACACCUCAAGAGCUGAAAGGCUGGAGCAGCCACUUUCUUUGGCCAAAAGACCGAAAUCUUGUCCUCCUUUUAGCUGAGCUUUGGGAUAUUUAGGGUCUUACAUGCUGGACUCCUCCAUUCCUGUCUGCUGAGUGGGGCACUGAAUGGAACAUAUCGGUGAACGUCACACCAAAAAUUAUCUGGAAGACCUUUUAAACUUUUUAAACCUUAGUUUUAUAGAUCCGUUUUGAAGGGAUCUGGUGACCUGAACUCUGUUUUUGAAUUAGUGAAAAGGAGCAGCCAUAAAAGGCCUUGUUUGCUGUACUGCAAACUUGGUUACUCCGAGUUCAUUGCCACUACCGUUCUUUAACCGCAAUCCAAGGAAGUUAAACUCACUUAAUUCCAUUUAAAUGGGAAGGUUUAUUCAUAGACGAUGCUUCGAGGAUUGUGGCCCUUGUGUACAAAAAGGGCACAUUUUCCUGUCCUCUUGUAUUGGUGAAUGUUGUGCUGCAACUGGAGCCUUGUAGCCAUUUGUUUGUGUGUAAAGACACAAACAGGUUUUUUGUUGCUAAAAUAAUGAGUUGAACAUAUUAGCUGAGUACAGAGGCUCGUAGAGUCUAGCCACUAAAUGCCGCUUCACAUAUGAACAUACAGAUUUCAUUCACAGAUCGUGCUUUCCAUGUUGGAAAUGGCAUGAAAUCUAUGUAUGUGUGUGACAAUUGCACAUGAGUAUAUAUCAUUAAUAACACAUAUUGGAACAUUUGGCAAUCUACACUUACCCAUAACAAGUAUGUUUCAAUUGCUGAUUUUAUCACAGAAGCCAACACACCGUUUUGUGCCUGACACAAAAUUUUGGGGCAGGGAGUAGUAUUUUAAAAUAAUAAUUAUUAUUAUUGUUACACAAAUUUUGAAAUAUAUAAUAUUUUUUAUUUGGAUGAUUAAAUGGUCUCAUUGGUCAAUAUUGUGUGCACAUUGGAAAUUUAAAAUACAAUGCUUCUUAAAAAGAAACAUGCCAGUUAAAUAGCCUGGAAUGCUGCACAACACUCUUAACGUAAAUCUACAAAAUCAUUAUUGAAGUUGGAAAGGAAUACAUGGAUUUACAGAAGAGAAGAAUGGACAAGAAGGAAAAAUAGCAAAACAAAAAGAAGAAAAAGUUGCCCAGUGACCACUAGAAUUUCAUUACCUGAAGAAAAGCUUCUAGCACUUCACCUGCAUUUUGUAUCUUGCACUUACCACAGAGAUUUUCAUUCUGCGUCCGUGUGUCCCUCAGAAGCUACACACAUUACUAAAUAGCUUUGCAGCUGCUAUCUUGGUACUUAAUCCAAAAGGCCUUAAAAAACAAGAAAACACCUAGAAUGAAAAAUGCCAGUUGUAUAAAACGCUUUUCGUAAAACACUUGGCCUUGAUGAGGAAUAGCUUCUGUUGAACGAUGCUUCCCAGUAUUGCCGUUAGACAAAGGGGAAAGAAGCUGCUUCUGAAAGUUUAAGUUUAUGUUUGGUGAAAUGUUUUUUGUGUGUAAAGAUACUGCACUAAUUGAAUUGGAAAUCAAUACAAAUGUAAGGAUUCUUUUUAUAGCCAGUUACUCUUUACACACUCCUUUAGCCGCUCUGCUAGCGGGUCCGUUUAGUAAUGCAGCCGUAGAAAUCAGUUUGUGCAUUUCAGUUUUUCCUAUGAUUUUUAAUUAUAUAUCUCUUUAUAAGGAACUGUAGAGAUGUUGCGGUGAUGGCAAGGCUGUGAAAAUGUGGCUGUGAUCUUUUCAGUGUCCUUUUACCCAUCUUUGUGCUUGGCCAAAAAAUAUUUUGGAGGCAGAAAGAAGGUUUUGUGUACCAGAUGCUCAUACAGAGGGAGCCCAACUGUGAGAAGAAGAGAGGCAGGAACCUUAGGCAGUGUUAUGGGGUGCCAUUUAAGGGGCAGGCCCCUUAAAAUGACAGGAGCUGUCCAAAGUCUUCACAUGCCUUGUGAAGGAGACUUUCCUAGUGAGUUGUGUCCCAUAUUAAUCAGUGGAAUGAGGGGGCUUCCUUAGAUUUUUCUGCCUGAGGCACCAAAACACUCACAGACUUAUGUAAGCUUCAUUCAAAAACCCAUUUUGCAACAGAUGCUGGAUGAAAUUAGUCCUUUUGUACAUGACAACAACUCUUUACAAAGUGAUUGUUUCUAAUAUUUAAGAAAUUCUAUUUCUUAGACAUAAACAAUCUGAGCACCUGCUAGGACAUGAAACUGAUCAGCCUUAUAAACAACAACUUGCUGGACCUCCAAGAAAAGAGGAGACUCAGAAAGAUCCAUUUGCAUUCUGACCACUUGUGUAAAUGCUAAAUUAGCAAGGUUUUUUUGUCAUUCUGAUUCAUGUAUCGGAGUGUUUAUGAGAUUUCUUUUGGGAGGCUGACUGAUUCUAACACCUUCAAAUAAGCAAGUAGAGCAUAAAGGUAAUAAGAGCAUGGAAGUAAUUAUUUUCCCUCCCUCCCCAUUGCAUGUGUGCUUUCUCCUGGCAGUGCAUUACUGCAUUUCUGUGCUCUUUUCAACUCAAUGGCUAAAAUUUCUGUACAUCGGCUUUCCGUGUUGAAGCACCUUGUUUAUACUGUGGCAUCUGCACAAUGAAUUGAACCACAUGGGUGAAUAAAAUAACAACGUUCCCUACACUGCCACGAGAUGGUGGUUCAGAAGGUGAUUAAUAAAUUGAGUGUAAUAAUAAUAAUAAUAUCUGAAAAAAGAUCUUCAUUGGACUUAUGAAUGGCUUAUACAUACUCCUAUCAUUGACCUACUCAUAGCUUGGCCAGUAAACAUGGUAUAUGAAAGCUACUGAAAUGCUGCUAUCAGACAGUUCCCUAAGCAAGUGGUAUUUGUAUUGCCAUAUGCGUUGGACAAUCACCAAACUGGUGUCCCGUCAAUUUAAAACUGUAAGCUGUUUUUCACCCUUGCAUAAUUUUCAGUGAUGUCUUAACCUUCAAUAUUUCUGCCUAAAACAUCUUUUUUUAAGGCCUCUGUGGCACACUCUAAAUAUAAACUAUUUUGAUCUUGUUGCAGAAAACAUGCUUUAAACUGCCACAGAAUGAAGCCAGCACUUUUUAAUGUUUUGUGUGAAAUCAAAGAAAAAACAGGUAAGGAGAAACGUAUCGUCUUGCACCUUUUCCCUCUUUUGCUGCCUUUCACAUUUCAUGUAUUUCUAAAAAAACAAACAAAAGAAAACUUGUUUUGGUUUAAAUAUUUUAUUUAAAGGGGAAAGCAGCUAUUGUUUUAUUCUUCGGAGAAUGCAUUCUUCUAUCAUAUAAAUGUCUAAAUAGCACAAUGAAGUCAUUUGUGUCUACAAUUCAGGGAAUAUUUUUUUCCGGGCACUAUAUGCCUCAUUACUUUCUUAAAUAUUACAUUAGUUGAAAACAACCCAGAACUGGAUUAAUUCAGCUGCAAUACUUAAAUCUUUUUUAAAAAGGGAAUAUUUGUCUUAAGAUUUUAAGAGCUACUGGGAAAUACAUGGCUCCUAAUGUGGAAAACACACGGAAAAGCCUUCAUUUGGCAUACAUUCAGUCCAGGUAAUGCACACAUAGACACUCAAAGAGGGGUGUGUGUGUGUGUGUGUGUGUGUGUGUACACACACACACACACACACACACACACCUAUAGAUAUGAGAUUGUUGGCUGUUUAAGGAUCUUGUUACUUUUAUAUCAAACAGUGGUUUUUUUGGUUACAAAGGUGCUAAUGGCAUGAGGUUGUUGAUUCGGUCUGUGUUUCCCACUUCGCAGGCCUCCUGCCGUGCACUAAUACACUUAUAAAAUGUCUCAGGGGGGCAUUUAAAUUUUAAAAGCAACAAUUAAAAAUAGCUGUCAUCAAUCAAGGGUGAUCUUAAACAGCAGAUGCUCAGAGAAGAGUGUUCAGUGACAUGCAACACUUAUUUAUUUCAAUUUUCAAAUGGUCUUCGGAAGGGGAAAUCCUGACUUACACCUUAGCCCACAGGAAAAGGUAGCUGGGAAGGCCACUGCUGAGUUUCAGCUCUUGAGUCCGCGGAUGUGCGUUGCAAACUAUCUACUACUCCACACGCCUCCCCCCCCCCCGCUUUUUUCCUAACAAGGAUGUAACAGUCAGUAAUUCAGAUCUCAAUCAUAUAAGUAAGGGGUAUGACAUGAAUGAAAGUGACAACAAAUAUGAUUGCAAACUCACUUGAUAUACAUUGAAAAGUGAUGCAUAAAAGGGAAAGCAGCUUUCAGAAAAUGUCUGUGUGCCUUUAAACUAUGGGUGACUAUGUUUCAUCGUGUGAACAGCUGAGUGAAAUGGGAUUAUUUGACUCCAGCAAUCUAUAUAAGAUGACUAAGGAGGUCCUUUGUUAAAUCUUGUUUGUGCAGCUUGUAACCUAGACAAAGCACCUAGCAUUGGCAUUCAAGCCUCUAAAGCCCUUAAGGCUGCGAAGCCGAAUGCUGACCUUCUUUAGAAGCCAUUCAUUAUGUGGCUCUUAUAAUAUAAUGUAAAGGGGUCUCUGAGGUCUUUCUAUAAUGCGAUGUAAUGCUGCUUGAAUAUAUAAGUUUAAUAACAAGAACAUCUGAAUCUUCUAAUCUUUUUCUGUUACUCUAUGUGUUUUCUCUCUCUCUUAAAAAAAAAUACUUUACAUUGUCCCCUGUUUUCAUAUUCUCUUAUUUGGGAUUUUUUGUCUCUUGUGUGGCAGUCUUCUUAAUUGAUUUCUGCCCUGAUCUGAAAUUGAAGUGCUUAUGAAGUGGUAGCAGAUGGUUAGUGAAAACUGAACCUCUUUAGAACCCCUCUUCCCAGUCUAAUAUUUGGAGAGGCUGGGAUUUGGAGGAAGGUGAGAAAAUCCGACUUUCACUACCAGUGGGCUAAUUCUGGUUGUAUUACUGGCACAAUCAGUGAGCAGCAGCUUGUUCAGCACAGAGGGCCACAUUAGAAAUAUUGUCAGCUGGAGGGGUGCAACUAAUUUGCAUACUAUUUGCAUGUCAUUGUUAUAAUCUCUGUACCAUUUGAACCUUGCAUAAUCAGCACCUGCAGUUGAAAUAUCUCUUAGACUUAUUCUUGCUAAGACAUUUUUGCACGUACAAAUGGGGAACAUUUGAAUGGAUCAUUGCCAAAUAGGGAGAUGCCUGGAGUCUUUGGAAUCGCAAAUAUUGUGUUGAAUUUCUCUCUCCGUUUGUACCUGAUACUUUUGCAUUUUUGCCAUUAUGUUUUCAAAAAUCAUCUCUGCAUACACGGGAAUAGGAAGCGGGUGGGGUGGGGGGAGAUCCUAUAAUUCUCAGUUUUAUAAUAAUGCUGGCUGUUCAGAAGUGUUUGGGGAGAUAGGGACGGACUGCAUGUUGAUUGUAGAUUGUAAAUUGUCCACCUGACCUGCCACUCCGAUGCACUGUGUGCGAGGUUGCAUACAAAAAACAAGUCAUACGUAGGGUUUUCUUUUUCUUAAUGCUUAUUGUUGUGCUGUUAGAAGUGUUUGUGUGUUUUAACCAGGCUUACUCCUGCUGAGUAUACCCAGACAACCAUGCGUUCACACACCUAUAUCCAUAGCAUUGAGAAUCGAGGUGUGAGUGGUUGCGGUUGCGCUCUUUAGCACUUUCAGCAUAAAGCAAUGCAGCCCAGGGGGUGGGGGUUGUGGGUUCUGGCCUCAGGAAUAUUCCAGGCUGACAUUUGCAUGCUGGAUACAUUCUAUGCCGUUGCUUAAUUCAAAGUAAACCUUCUCCUGGAUUGUUUGACAGGCAUCUGGGCACUUUUUAAUAUUUUAACAAUAUUUAGCUUAUUGAAAUUAUUUUCCUGUGUGAAAGGAUAGUUCCCUCCUUGUGCAUUCAUAAUGCCAGUGCCCCAUGGCAAAAUCUCUGGUUACAGGUUUACUAUACGUUUUGUAAUUUAAAACCAAACUGUCAUGCUAAAUAAGUAGAUGCAAUUAUUUUGGGGGAAGAAAUUCCAUAAGCUGCCGGUCGGAAAGGAAAGAAGCAGUGCAACAGAGGAGAGUAAUACAACUGAUUCUGUCAGAAUCUUCUUCCAACAAAGAUUGAAAGGGGAAAUGUACUGAUAGAUCAAAAUCUCACUCUGCUGAAAUCAUUUGCAGCUUCUACUUGGUGUCUCUGUGUUUUUUGUUCAUCUCUUUUCACUCCUGGUGUUCCAGUGUUCUGAAAUGGGCAUUCACUUUUCUACUACUUGAUUUAAGUGACUCCAGAGUCUGCUGGAGACUUUACCACCAUCCCUCGCAACAGUGCGGCUAAUAUUUCACAGUGUUAACAUUGCCGGAACAAACCUAAAGUGUCUAUAAACUUGUUGUAAAAAGAGGUCAUCUUUACUGGCCAAAGAGAUCCCCCUUGUCUGCUGAUGUUUCAAUUUAUUUUAAAGGAAAGGAUUUAUGGAUGCUUUUUAUGUAAGCUUGAAGUAUAAUACAUCGAGAUGUAUGAAAUCUGAGCAUGUUUAUUUAAAAAGAAGAUAGAAGGCAAGAUUUAAUUUUGAAGUAAUGGGAGGGAAACAAAUUUUGUUUACAUGUUCCUCUGGAUUGAAUAUGUACUUUUUUGGCAGGAAGCGAGUACUGUUGCGUAAUGAAGAAUUGAAUUGUGAGGCCAGUUUAUAGUGAUUAAUUGACUAUUUAAUAUUUUAUUUGCAAAAUGUGACAGAUUUCAGAGUUAUUGUAAUUUUAACUUGGGGAUUGUUUUGUAGAGCAUGGUGAGUGUGAAGUUUAAAAGUCAACUAUCUGCAUAAUCAGAAUUUCUGAGAAGGAAUGAGAGCUGGUGUCCUUUAAUUGCAUAGUAGGUGUUAAAAAUUAGACUUCAGUCUGUCAUUUAGCAGAGGUUUCUUUCUCUGAUGUAGAAGGGCAACACAGGAUCAUUACCCAGUUUUGAUGCCUCAUUCAUUCCUUCUUGUGAACUGUCUUUAUUAUUUAAUUUUGCUUUCCAAGAUCAGUUUUGGGAGAUAAUGAUCUUCCCUUGUGAUUUUUUAAAGGAAAAAUCUGUUAAACUUUCCAAAAGGAAAACUGAAUUGUUGCACUGCAAGACUAUAUUAAUAAAAUGGAAACAAAUGUACAGUUUUUAAACAUGAGGAUCUGAGUUCAGAGUUUAGAAUUUGAGGAAACCUGAAGAUAAUCUUCAGUUUUGAAAUCCUGGUUAUGUGUAUUUAAUUUCAUUUAAUUGCUUACCCCAUCCAUGUUUAAGUGGUUAAAAUGUGUACACUUUAUUCAUGUUUUCAGCAUUAAGAUACUAUUUUUUCCUAUACAGUAAAACAUACUAAAAAUAUUUAUAGGCAGCCUUGACCAGUUCUUUAACUGUUAAGAUAUAGUUUGCUCUCUCAUGCUUACCACCAAUAUACUGGUUCACACUACAAAUAUCUUCUGCUCUCAUCCUGUAUAAAUAUCUGCUGCAAAGUUAACAGAUAUUUUGAGGAGGAACAGGUUCUUCCUUUCUUUUUCUUUCUUUCUGUAUCCCACCACAAUACUGAAUUCUUUAUUUUCUUUAUAAAUUCUUAGGUUGGAUUUCACUUCUGACACCUUUGUUGUUGUUUCUGCCUGUCACUUAAAAUACAUAGUGAUUUUGAAAUUUUUUUUGGUUACAGAUUUAGCUAUAUACAGAAACCAAAUGCUUCCUGGCUGCACUCUUUUUUCCUCUAGUGUCCAACCUUUGUCUUGUGUCCAACCUUCUUGAGCUUUGCCGUUGAGCUUUGUGUUGAUGUUCUCUUUAAAAUGAUAUGAUGAUCUAUGGAACUAAUUCUGUUAACAGCAGAGGCUUACACUGUGGUAGUCCAAGAAAGAAAUGAAGACUUAUUUGUGCCGGGAGCUGUACAAAUGCAUAAAAGGGAGAACCUUGCCUUUUAUGCACCUGGUGUUUUGAACUGUACCUCUUACCUUUUUUUCCCUGGUGCCAGAAGAUAUGUAAUGAAGGUGCCAGGGGAGCCUCCCUGGGGAGAGCAUUCCACAAGUGGGGAGCCACUGCAGAAAAGGCCUAUUUUCAUGUUGCCACCCUUUGGACCUCUCAUGGAGGAGGCAUACAAAGAUGUGCCUCAGAUGAUGAUUGCAGGCUUCAGAUUGGUUCAAAUGGGGAGAGUUGGUGCUUGAGGUCCUGAGUUGUUUAAGGCUUUAUAGGUAAAAAACAGCACUUUGAAUGGGGCCUGGAAACAAACUGGCAGCCAGGAUCCAUGUAAUAUGCUCAAACCAUCUUUCCCCAGUGAGCAACCUAGCUGUCGAAUUUUGCCCAGGCAAUGGCAGUGCCUUCCAAAGCACAUGAAGGCAACUUGCUAGCUUAGUGGGUGCAGGACAGGCUUUGUAGCAUAGGUUGCUCUGACGGUUCCCUUUCCCUCAGUGUCUGCUGCCUGAGGCAACCUCCUUACUCAGCCUAAUGGUAGAGCCAGUCAUGUUGCCAGGUGGAACAUGAUUAAAUUAGUUGGGACUUGGCAUUUUUAAUGAAUUGAAAGAGCCAUCUCAGGCAGCAAAUCCCAGAUUUCCUGUCUCCAUAUCUGUGUGCAGCCGUUAGGUGCAGAAAAUGUCCGGUACUGAAAUUAACACAGAAACAGGGCUGAGGGGAGGGGAGAAGUCAAAUAGAGCUCAUAUACUUUGUUUUUGAUGUGCAUUCAUUGAUGUGUAUGGUGAUAUGACUGACACACACCACCAAAUUUGUAGUGUGCAGGUGUAGCUUCAAAAUAUUCAGUUUGAAUGUGGAAGGAGCUUAUGGAGACAAGUGCUUCAACUUUUACCCACACCCGCAUUGCCACACCACAAAGUAGAACGGAAAGUAUGUUAGUAAGAGUGGACCAGGGUUGUGCAGUGUCUGAUUUUCAACACUGUAAUAUAUCAGCAGUUAAAACAUCACAAUAUUAUGAUAUAUUGCCAUUGGAAAUUGGAAAUUGGGUGUUCGGAUGAGGGAAGGAGCAGCCACAGAGAUCACACAGGUGGGGGGCAUGGAGGUUGGGCAUGUGGGUGGGCGAAGGAGUGUGGAAAUCAGGUUAGGGCCACACAGGGGCCCACUCCUCUCCUCCUCUGUGCCUCUUCCCAUGUUGGGAAGGCGAAGUCCUUCCACUCCUCCAUAGACAGAAAAAGGGAGAAGGGAGAAGCAGCCCAACCGCAAUUCCUCUUGGGGUGGAGACUUGGAAAGUGGAGGAGUGAGCCGCUGAAGCAGCCCCCUCUGCUUUCCUUCCCACAGGAUGGGAAGGGCGGCUGGCUGAGGGUGAGCCACAGUGAAUUGGCCGGAGAGGAAAGUCAGGGAGCAGGACAUUACAGUUAUGGAGAGGCUGGGAGUGGGAUGGCUCUGCUAUUGGAGGUGCAGUUGCGCGGUUGUGGGGAAAGGGGUGUACAGUUGCUUCACAAACCCAGGCCAAGAUGUCCUACAUCCCCAAUCCCAUCCCUCCUGGUUGGUUGUGUUCAAAAGUGCUAAUUUUGGACUGGGUGUCCAUGUGCUCUCCCUCCCUCCCUUGUGGAGGGUGCUUAGGAUAAGUAAACCUAAUUGUUUCAUUUGGAACCGAACUCUUGCGAGGACUAAGCAGGCAGGCUUCCUGCCUCUAGGGUGUCCCAGGGAAGAUACUGAACAUGCUCUGCACUCUUCUUCCUUGUUCGAAUGCGUUUGUUCUGCUUGUGCCAUUGAUUCUGCAAUGACAACGAGAACAGUUUGGGAAGGAAAGAGAGACUCUUU